Molecule: RNA transcript, 1100 nt
Organism: Capsicum annuum
Lineage: Eukaryota; Viridiplantae; Streptophyta; Magnoliopsida; Solanales; Solanaceae
Gene name: 60S ribosomal protein L18a-like protein
Exons: 7
Source: RefSeq, a predicted model, not a curated record
CCAACUAGCUUCAAAUUUUCAACUGCCAUCGAAAAAAAGACAAACGAAGCCCACGUGUCCGGGCAGUGCUAGGCAUCGAAACGCCCGAGUGAUCAAACUAUAUCAAAAUCGCUGAUCACACAGCUCUUUCAUCGAAACCCUAAACCUUUGAUCAAUCAUCGAUCGAGCGGAGAAGAAUGAGUGAAGAAGGUGGAAAGAUGAACAGAGACACAGCUGCUCCGGCAACGGCGAUCGCCGUCUCCGGCGAGCCAUUGCUUGCAAAUUAUUGCUACGGGACAUUUCAAGGAGUCGCCAGUUAUCAAUCUCCUCCUCCUUUACAAUCUCAUCCGGUCUUCGGUUUCCCUCAACCCAUACCUCCUCCUGCUGUCUGCGCCGUUCCGCCUUGUUACUUUCCUCAUGGUUAUCAAACCGUUCAAGGUUAUGCUGUUGCUGAAGGUAGACCAAUAAGGGAACAUCGGCUUCCGUGUUGUGGUAUGGGGAUUGGCUGGUUCUUGUUCAUUAUUGGUUGCUUUCUUGGUGCCAUUCCCUGGUACAUUGGAGCUUUUCUUCUUUUGUGUGUUCGGCUCGAUUACAGAGAAAAACCUGGAUUUAUUGCAUGCACCUUAGCAAACCACUCUUAGAAGAGUAGAUUCUCUGGCCUUCUUGCUGAUCUUGGUCAUGUGCUUGAACCUCGAAGCGGUUGCCCAAUGCUCGAGUAAUUGCUCCUAUUCUCAGAAAAAAGUGUGCUAGACUUUCGUGACAUGAGGAUCAGAUUUUUGUAAAAUUCGAGAAGAAAGCCAAGCACGUAUUCAUUUACUUGUUCUUGAAAGCUCGUACCAAGAAUAAGAAGCCUAGGUGGGUUUUACCUAGAGCAGUUACUCGGGCGACUGAUCCGAGGUUCAAGUAGAUGGCUGAGAUCGUCAAGAAGGCCCGAGCAUCUACACAGGGGCUCAGAGCUAGGGAAAUGCGAGGAGGAAAUUGGCUACGCUUGCUUUGGUUGCUAUGACACUUGGUGCGACAAAGGCAAGUUAUUUGUGUUUGUAUAUAGAAGAUAUUGAUCGAGUGAUGCUUAUACAUGAUAUAUGCACUCUUCUGGCAAUGCAAUUCUAAGUUUGUCUUCA